AAUAUGACAGUGGGUGACGAAAUUGAAUUUGAAUGGCCCACAGAUUGUGCGCAACCAGACUUGAAAGAGAAAAAGAUCUAUUACGUUAUAGGAAAGGACGGGACAGCUUUCAAUGACGCGGGAGGGACCAGUUUGAAGUAUGAACUGUCGGGCACGGCGCUUGUCAUCGAUCCAGCGUACAAACCCGUGUUACAGAUUGUAAUGAACAAUUUUGUUGAGGAGCUGAAGACCUACAGCGGAUGCAAACAUUAGACGUUGUGACUCCAAUAUUGGGCCACGCUCGCGUCGACGCACUAGAAGUGACGCACACGCCCACGUGUUGUGUUGUGUUGUGUUUGACUAGAUAGGCAUAGUUUUUCACAAACAGAGUUUGAUGUUCCCUUUUAAUUUAGGCAUCAUUUGUGCCGUACAGUAUGCUUGUUAGCACAUGUUCGUAUUAAUAAUGGUCUUAAGCCUACAUGAAGAUACUUAAAAGCAAUCAAUCCCGAAUAUGAUUUAAUUGUUCUAACUUAAUCAAGCUGUAGUAUUGUGUUCAAUUAAAUAAAUACAGAUACUUGUUGGAUCUGAGAAUUCAUCUGAUAAGUGGGCAGAUUCAAGAUUUAUUAUUAAUAAAAGCUUUAAAAAUGUAAUGGUCUAACAGCACCUAAAUGUUGAAUCUAACUCGAUGAUAUCCACCAUUUUAUAAAAAAUAAAAACAAUUUGGAAAUGUCAUAACAUAGUUUUAAAGAAGGUCUUCGCUUAUAGGAAAUAUACCAUUAAGAUCGGAAAGAAAGCAGACCGAUUUGCGAAAACUGUCCUGCGUAAGAACAGGAGAACUGAUGUAAAAUUAACAAUUAACAUUAAUGUAGCAUCUCUACUUUAUGUGCUAAAAGGGAGAAUGAUAAUGUGGAUUUUUGAAUAUAAUAAUUCAUGCGAUGGAGCUGUAUAUUAGAAUAUGUAAGCUUGUAAUUGGUUGCUUAAUGAAAAGUUGCGUAUAGGCCAAUCUUCCGAUAACACACAAUAUUGCAAAGUUUGACGCGCAUGCUACUUUCGUAGCAUAGUUGUGAUUGUAUAAAGUGAAAGCAAAUGUAAUUGAUAUAUAUUAUAUGACUCUGUUAUGAAAAUAUUGCAUGAAUAAACGUUUGCUAGCUU
This is a long non-coding RNA of Dreissena polymorpha, 1131 nucleotides long. RefSeq lists it as uncharacterized. The transcript has 2 exons. Lineage: Eukaryota; Metazoa; Mollusca; Bivalvia; Myida; Dreissenidae. The record is from RefSeq and is a predicted model, not a curated record.